AAUGCGGAUUAAGACCAACAGGGAUGCCCUUAGUAACGGCGAAGUGAAGCGGCAACAGCUCAAAUUUGAAAUCUGGCGCAGCCCGAGUUGUAAUUUGUAGAGGAUGCUUCGGGGCAGCGGCCGGUCUAAGUUCCUUGGAACAGGACGUCAUAGAGGGUGAGAAUCCCGUCUGCGACCGGCUGGCACCCCACACGUAGCUCCUUCGACGAGUCGAGUUGUUUGGGAAUGCAGCUCUAAAUGGGAGGUAAAUUUCUUCUAAAGCUAAAUACCGGCCAGAGACCGAUAGCGCACAAGUAGAGUGAUCGAAAGAUGAAAAGCACUUUGGAAAGAGAGUUAAAAAGCACGUGAAAUUGUUAAAAGGGAAGCGCUUGCAACCAGACUUGUCGACGGUGUUCCGCCGGUCUUCUGACCGGUUCACUCGUCGUCGGCAGGCCAGCAUCGUCUGGGGGCCGCCGGGAUAAAAGGCUUGGGGGAAUGUGGCUCCUCCGGGAGUGUUAUAGCCCCUCGCACAAUACGGCGCGCCUCGGGCGAGGUCCGCACUUCGGUAAGGAUGCUGGCGUAAUGGUCGUAAGCGGCCCGUCUUGAAACACGGACCAAGGAGUCGAUCAAUCGUGCGAGUGUUCGGGUGAAAAACCCUUGCGCGCAAUGAAAGUGAACGGAGGCGAGAACUUCGGUGCAUCGUCGACCGAUCCAGAUGUCUUCGGAUGGAUUUGAGUAAGAGCAUGGCUGAUCGGACCCGAAAGAUGGUGAACUAUGCCUGAAUAGGGUGAAGCCAGAGGAAACUCUGGUGGAGGCUCGCAGCGGUUCUGACGUGCAAAUCGAUCGUCAAAUUUGGGUAUAGGGGCGAAAGACUAAUCGAACCAUUAACCUACUAGGUGGUUAAUCUGUCGGACAAACGACACAGGCGGCACAGGGGCCGCCGACACCGUCAAAUUGCGGGGACGCGCUGAGCGUUCUCGCCGGCCGCCGCCCUCGGAAACGGGGUGCACGGCGCGGCGUCCCUAACGGGAUGGCCACACGGCCGGCGCGAAAUUGGUUGACCCGCAGCCAAGUCCGCAGUCGCAGGGGGCGACCCGGACGCAGUUAACAGACUCGACGUCGGUGGGCCGGCGCAAGGGGCGUCGGCUUGAGAUAGAGUCGGUUCGCCGCGAGAGCGACCGAGACC
This 1165-nucleotide ribosomal RNA is filed under the name Vermiconidia antarctica. RNAcentral describes it as "LSU rRNA". It matches the Rfam family "Eukaryotic large subunit ribosomal RNA", at positions 47 to 1411 of the family's 3401-position model. Lineage: Eukaryota; Fungi; Ascomycota; Dothideomycetes; Mycosphaerellales; Extremaceae. The record is from RNAcentral.